Molecule: long non-coding RNA, 3233 nt
Organism: Columba livia (rock pigeon)
Lineage: Eukaryota; Metazoa; Chordata; Aves; Columbiformes; Columbidae
Exons: 3
Source: RefSeq, a predicted model, not a curated record
AGUUGCAGGUACAAGAAAUGAGUGACAUGGGUUCUAGGUCCUCUUCAGCUUGAGAAGACAUAAACUAUCAUCUCUUACCUUCUUAAGGUUCUGAAAUCCUAUCUCCAUUCCUGCCAUAUUACUGGAAAAAAAAGUGCCAUUACUCCAUGUGCAACACAUAUAGAGUGAUGGGGACAAAAAGUAGAAAACAACAUCCUCCAUCUCCAGCUUCUCUACAUCUUCAAAAUGGAGCUACAGAAAUCCAGAGAAUUGCACUUCUUGUGAAAAGAGCAUUCCAAGGUCAUAGAAAAUAUUAUUGCUCCCUUACGUGUGGAUCUUGCCACUCAAGAGCUUUUUUGUUCUCCUUGAAGAAACUCUUGUGGACUCAUUCUGGACCUAGUCACGGACUAGAUAUACUUACAAAGUGUGGCCUUGAUUUGGAUAUUAAAGCAUUUCAGAAAUAACAGGAAAAUCCAGUUCUCUUCCUUCUUCAGACUCAUUGUACUUUGAAAUUUGUCAAGAGACCAGGCACAACUAAACUCUUGAGAAAAAGAUGAGUACUCAAAGGUAGAAAGUCUUCAUGGGACUUUGGAGAUGGAUUAUGCCCAAUGACUUUCAAUGCAUCCCGAAUAUCAGCAGAGAACUAAGAUCCCUCCAGAAGGACACAGAACAGAGUUAAAUCAUGAGUUAGGCAUGAAGUGUUUUAGAUGUGAUGGACAGCUGGCACCCCUUAAGAGUCAGUGUAAUUACUACAUUGAAACAAUGUUAUGACUCUACCCUUACUGUCUUGUCCAUCUCUUUCAUAAGGUAUCUUCCCUAUCUUCCCAAACUCAAAACUUUCUUUUGCUAAGUCCUUUGCAUGACUGAAAAGGUAUUCAAUAACCUACUUUCCCUCACCCCCCCAAUUUAAUCCCAAGAGUGGUUAGUUCUAUUGCACAUUUUUCCAGGUCUCUGCUGACUUUUGAAAACCCACUCAAAAAUGAGGUGACAGACUAAAAGAUUUAACCCUUGAUAUAUAAAACACAAAGAAAUGGAGAAAAUACAAAAAAAAAGAAAAAAACCCACACACAAAAAAAGCCCUCUUUUAGCCUAUUAUUACAUUUUGCCUAAAUAAAGACACUUGACUGGAAAUUUCAUUCAAAAUUUAAAAUUUAUGAACUAUUACAUGUUCUUAUGAGUAGCAGUGAAUCAAGCUUUACUUAUGUAGUUGUCAAUUAAAUAUGUAGGAAAGGUUGAGGAGGAUCAGGUUAGAGACUGUUUAGGCAAACUGGACAUCCACAAAUCCAUGGGUCCUGGUGGGAUACACUGGUGGGAUACACCCACAAAUGCUGAGGAAGCUGGAAGAUGUUAUUGCAAAGCCACACUCCAUCACCUUUGAAAAGUCUUGGGGAACAGGAGAGGUGUCUGAGGACUGGAAAAAAGCCAGCAUCACUCUAGCCUUCAAAAAGGGCAAGAAGGAUGACCCAGGUACACACAGGCCAAUCAGCCUCAUUUCCAUCCCUGGAAAGGUGAUGGAACAACUCAUUCUGGAUGUCAUCUCCAAGCAUGUGGAGGAAAAUAAGGUUAUUGCGAGUGUCAGCAUGUGUUCAGCAAAGGGAAAUCACAUUUGAUCAACGUGUAACCUUCUAUGAUAGUUCGAUAGAGGGCAGAGCAGUGGAUGUUGACUACCUUGACUUCAGCAAGGCUUUUGACACUGUUUCUCACAACAUCCUCAUAGGAAAGCUCAGGAAGUGUGGGUUGGAUGAGUGCAUGGUGAGACGGAUUGAGAACUGGCUGGAUGGCAGAGCUCAGAGGGUUGUGAUCAGUGGUGUAGAGUCUGGUUGUAGUUCGUUGGGUUCCCCAGGGAUCAGUACUGUGUCCAGUCGUGUUCAACUUGUUUGUCAAUGACCUGGAUUAAAAGACUGAGUGCACCCUCAGCAAGUUUGGUGAUGAUACAAAACUGGGAGGAAGGAUUGAUAUACCAGAUAGCUGUACUGCCAUUCAGAAAGACCUGGACAGGCUGGAGGACUGGGCAGAGAAGGACCUGAUGAAAUUCAACAAGGGUAAGUGUAUGGUCCUGCACCUGGGGAGGAAUAACCCCAGGCACCAGUACUGGUUAGGGGUGGACCUGCUGGAAGGCAACAUUGCAGAGAGGGACCUGGGAGCUCUGGUCAUCAACAGAUUGACCACAAGUCAGCAAUGUGCCCUUGUGGCCUUCCUGGAUGCAUUCCUGUUCAAUCUCCUCUAGGUGACCCUGCUUUAGCAAGUGGGUUGGACUAGAUGAUCUCCAGAUGUCUCUUCCAACCCCAAUGUUUAUUCUGUGUGAUUCUGUAAAUAUUUACCAUUUUCUGAAAUCUCCAGUGAUAGUUCCUUCAAAAAAUGUGAUGAAAGACUAGUUUGCGAGGUUUGCAAGCUAAGGACACUGACACAGCAGCUGCACUUUUCAGUUACUUUUAAAGACAGAUUUCCUUCCAUGGUUUGAGGAGACAUCUAUUCUAAUGAUGAAAGUGUCUACAUUUGUUUAUUGUCAUUUGAUCAACACUCUUUUCCUUCUAAAUCACCUAUUACUCAAAGUACCAUCAAGCUAUGAGGUUUUUGAAGUUUGCCAGUAUCAAUUGUCUUCCUUGCUCAAUUUGUUUGCUUUUUUAAUCUCUGCCUGUAUAUAGUCCCUGAACUCAUGAUACUAACCCUCACAAUACCAUAGUUAUAUUAGAAGAUGGCAAAUAAUAUGCAUGCAGCUCUCUUGAGCAAUUAUACUUUUCUGUAUUAAUGUGUGGGAAUGGAUGGUAGUAAACAUUUUGAAAAAGGAUCUUUCUCUUGUGUAAGUGCCAUAAUGUUUUCCCUAGAUCCCUGGAAAUACAUGAAGGUCUGGUGAAUGGCCAAGGUAAUGUUUCAUUCAUUUCUGAACCUAGCAGCCUCUUGAAAUUGAAUGUAGACUCUAGCAGGAAAUAUAUAUGUCCUUGUUAGGCUAGAUGCAAAGAUAAAUCACUUAUUUCAGAGUUCAGAGGUAUGUUGAGCAAUGUCACUCUUUUUUUUUUUUUUUUUUUUUUUUUUUUUUUUCUUCUAAAGGUAAAUAAAGUAAAAUGUUAUGUUUCCUUCUUUGGAUUGUUACUUCACUUUUGAUAAUGUUCCCUUAAUUAAAAAUAAAUAAGAAAAUUCAGACCUGUGGAUAUUUAUUAAAAAUCUCAGGAGAGAAGCCCUCCAGCUUCCUACAGCCUGUAAUUUAUAGGAACUGAAUGCUGUGCUGUUCUCAGCAUAUUUAUUAAAGAAAUAUA